CCUACGGGUGGCAGCAGUCGAGAAUCAUUCACAAUGGGGGAAACCCUGAUGGUGCGACGCCGCGUGGGGGAAUGAAGGUCUUCGGAUUGUAAACCCCUGUCAUGUGGGAGCAAAUUAAAAAGAUAGUACCACAAGAGGAAGAGACGGCUAACUCUGUGCCAGCAGCCGCGGUAAUACAGAGGUCUCAAGCGUUGUUCGGAACCACUGGGCGUAAAGGGUGCGUAGGCUGUUUCGUAAGUCGUGUGUGAAAGGCGCGGGCUCAACCCGCGGACGGCACAUGAUACUGCGAGACUAGAGUAAUGGAGGGGGAACCGGAAUGCUCGGUGUAGCAGUGAAAUGCGUAGAUAUCGAGAGGAACACUCGUGGCGAAGGCGGGUUCCUGGACAUUAACUGACGCUGAGGCACGAAGGCCAGGGGAGCGAAAGGGAUUAGAUACCCGAGUAGUC
RNAcentral lists this ribosomal RNA (446 nucleotides) under uncultured bacterium. Its description in RNAcentral is "partial 16S ribosomal RNA". It matches the Rfam family "Bacterial small subunit ribosomal RNA", at positions 338 to 795 of the family's 1533-position model. The record is from RNAcentral.